CAGGGAAGCAGCACAGCAGAAAUCCAAGAUGAAAAUAGGAUUCCGCAAUCAAAUGCACCAUGGGGCCAAGGAGAGACGAAGUUGCUCCUCAACAGCUACUUCCAAUACUCAAGACAGGUUGGACCUAUGAAAAGGUUCAGGAGUAAAAGAGCGAUGUAUGAGCAGAUUGCCAAAGAUAUUUUCGAAGUGUUGCAGAUCACACGCACAGGCGUCCAAUGUGAAACCCGGUUCAAGACGCUAGCAAAACGUAAACGCAGCGAGGACAACCACAACAGAACGUCGGGCAACUCCACUGCCAAACGUCAUAUGAGGAAGAGUUCAAUGCCAUUAGGGCCAUUGACGACAGCCUUGAGCAUGAAGUGUUACGAAGCGUCGGCCAAGUGACCUACAAAGACUCGACACUGGAUAGGUCCACAGCAGGACCUUCUAGCGCUGCACAAGACGGCAACAUCGACAAUUCCGAAGGCAGUGAACAAGACGACGCAUCAACAAGAGCCCCAAGAGGGGAAAGCCGAUGCAAGAAGCGGAAAGCGGACAGAGGAAUUUGACCAAGCAACGGCCGCAUGCAGCACAUGGUGUUCUUUUUCGAGCAAAUGAAAGCACUGAAUGAUGCGAAAGAACGUAAAAAAGAAGAAUGCGAGAAACGAAAAGAGGAGCGGCACCAAGAGCUGCUGUAGGCGCACAAGGCGCAGAUGCAGACCGUGAGAGACCUCGCUAACAAGCAAUAGGUUGCCUAAAUAAGGUACAUCAUAACUGUUUAUUACGAUAAAUUAUGGAAAUGUGCAAUAAAUCAUGGUAAACCCAGAAA
This is a long non-coding RNA of Ixodes scapularis (black-legged tick), 808 nucleotides long. RefSeq lists it as uncharacterized. Lineage: Eukaryota; Metazoa; Arthropoda; Arachnida; Ixodida; Ixodidae. The record is from RefSeq and is a predicted model, not a curated record. The transcript is spliced from 2 exons.